CCAAGGAGUCUAACAUGUGCGCGAGUCAUGAGGUUUUGCGAAACCUAAAGGCGCAAUGAAAGUGAAGGCCGGCUCGCGUCGGUCGAGGUAGGAUCCCUCCCCUCGGGGCUGGGCGCACUACCGGCCCGUCUCGGCAGGUGCUGUCCUGGAGGCGGAGCAGGAGCGUACACGUUGGGACCCGAAAGAUGGUGAACUAUGCCUGAGUAGGACGAAGCCAGAGGAAACUCUGGUGGAAGUCCGUAGCGAUUCUGACGUGCAAAUCGAUCGUCAAACUUGGGUAUAGGGGCGAAAGACUAAUCGAACCAUCUA
RNAcentral lists this ribosomal RNA (309 nucleotides) under Nucula proxima. RNAcentral describes it as "eukaryotic LSU rRNA". It matches the Rfam family "Eukaryotic large subunit ribosomal RNA", at positions 666 to 946 of the family's 3401-position model. Lineage: Eukaryota; Metazoa; Mollusca; Bivalvia; Nuculida; Nuculidae. The record is from RNAcentral.